CGCGUAGGCGGUGUUUUAAGUGGGAUGUGCAAUCCCCGGGCUUAACCUGGGAACUGCAUCCCAGACUGGAACGCUAGAGUACUGGAGAGGGUGGUGGAAUUCCACGUGUAGCGGUGAAAUGCGUAGAGAUGUGGAGGAACACCAGUGGCGAAGGCGGCCACCUGGACAGUAACUGACGCUGAGGCGCGAAAGUGUGGGUAGCAAACAGGAUUAGAUACCCUGGUAGUCCACGCUGUAAACGAUGAACACUUGGUGUGGCGGGAGUUGACCCCUGCCGUGCCGAAGCUAACGCGCUAAGUGUUCCGCCUGGGGAGUACGGUCGCAAGGCUGAA
RNAcentral lists this ribosomal RNA (332 nucleotides) under uncultured bacterium. Its description in RNAcentral is "bacterial SSU rRNA". It matches the Rfam family "Bacterial small subunit ribosomal RNA", at positions 568 to 898 of the family's 1533-position model. The record is from RNAcentral.